Molecule: non-coding RNA, 769 nt
Organism: Odocoileus virginianus texanus
Lineage: Eukaryota; Metazoa; Chordata; Mammalia; Artiodactyla; Cervidae
Source: RefSeq, a predicted model, not a curated record
GCCCCGAAGGGGAAAGCGAAACUCCGAGCGGAGCGAACUCUUCUCCGUUUAGUUCCUUUCUCUCGCAUCCCCAGCGCGGGCCCCGCAAUCACCCCGGCCGACUCACGAAAGAUUCCGCAGGCUCACCUUCCGAACCCGCUGUCCCAGAGAGUCCGGAGGCCGCACCACGGAUAGAAUAAACCAGAGACCUCAACUAGUGUUGAGAAGCUCCAUUCUUUCCCCAAUGACUGGACAGUUAACGGGAAAGAGAGACUUGGAGAUACAACCGUCCUCCCUUCUUCCGGAGGACUGAGGCUUUUCCCGAACCACCCCCAGCUCGGUUUUCUCCCGAAAUGUGUUUUCCUCAUUUUGCAAAAUUCCUGCCCAGAUUUUAAUAUUACCAUACCUAGGAGAACAGAGCUUCCCAGUUUAAAAAUCGAAAACAAUAAAACCAGGGCGUCCUCUGUGAAUCUUUUCCUUUCACUCUUGCCUUCUACUUUUAAGAAAGCCGCAUCCCAAACCACCAUACUUCUUUCCUCCCCGAAGAGAACUCGCCUAAGAAUUCACUCCGUUUCCGUUUCUCCCCCGACGUGUCCCCGCCUGACUCAGAUCUCCAUGGAAAGCAGAAAGACUUUAGUAUCAUCCUUCCCAAUGUCUUCUUCAGUUCUCGGUUUCCUGCCUUUUGACCAGAAGAAUUCGCAAAUACUGGUGGUUAUUAUUAUUUCAGAAUAUCCAGUAUUCUCCAAUAUUUCCACCAAGAAUUAGCACUGCUACUUACUUUACCAAUUAA